Molecule: ribosomal RNA, 580 nt
Filed under: uncultured bacterium
Lineage: Bacteria
Description: bacterial SSU rRNA
Rfam family: Bacterial small subunit ribosomal RNA
Source: RNAcentral
CCUACGGGAGGCAGCAGUGAGGAAUAUUGGACAAUGGACGAAAGUCUGAUCCAGCUAUGCCGCGUGCAGGAUGACGGCCCUAUGGGUUGUAAACUGCUUUUAUACAGGAAGAAAAACUCCGACGUGUCGGAACUUGACGGUACUGUAAGAAUAAGGAUCGGCUAACUCCGUGCCAGCAGCCGCGGUAAUACGGAGGAUCCAAGCGUUAUCCGGAAUCAUUGGGUUUAAAGGGUCCGUAGGCGGUUUUUUAAGUCAGAGGUGAAAUCCUGCAGCUCAACUGUAGAAUUGCCUUUGAUACUGAAAGACUUGAGUUAUUGUGAAGUGGUUAGAAUGUGUGGUGUAGCGGUGAAAUGCAUAGAUAUCACACAGAAUACCAAUUGCGAAGGCAGAUCACUAACAAUAUACUGACGCUCAGGGACGAAAGCGUGGGUAGCGAACAGGAUUAGAUACCCUGGUAGUCCACGCCGUAAACGAUGGAUACUAGCUGUAUGUCUACUUCAGGUAGAUGUGUGGCUAAGCGAAAGUGAUAAGUAUCCCACCUGGGGAGUACGAUCGCAAGAUUGAAACUCAAAGGAAUGAC